CCUGCCCAGGAGGCAGAACUGCUGCCCUGGGCAGUGCCAGCCCUGAGCAGAUGGGGCAGAGAGGCUGUGCAGUCUCCUCCCUGGGGACAUUGCAGAGCCACAGGGACACUCUGCUGUGCCCUGUGCUCUGGGAUGGCCCUGCUGGAGCAGGGAGGUGGCACCAGAGCAGCCCCGUGGGCCCUGCCAGCCUCUCCCAUCCUGGGAUUGUGGAAUUCCAUGGUCUCCUGUAGCCAAAUUAGCACCUCUCACUAAAAGAUUCCCCAGGUGCAGCCCACAAAAUGAGGAGGUCAUCCAAAACUUCUUAAGCUCUGAAAGGACAGAAUGAGAUCCAGGGCAAGUGUUCACAAGAGCCAAAACCAGGUUAUCAGUGUACCGAUGCAAGAUGCCAAGGAAAACUCUUACUGAAAUCAAAGAAUCAUUCUACUACAACCCUGGCUAGGCCUUCCACAAAGAUCUGACAUGGGCUGGCUCAUUGAAUGUGGGAACCUGCUGGAAUUCAUCUCUAUGUGAGCAAUCACCUGAAAGAAAUGAUUCCCCCUGACAAGAGCACAUCUCAGUGCCUUCACAGGUAUCAGUAAAAUGCCCAUUAUACUUUCUUGCAUUCUUCUGCAAGACACAGAGCUCAGGAGAUGUAUUCUGUAUGCAGGAGCAAUUACCAUCCUCUAAAAUUCUCAUGUUCCAACAGCAGUUCCUCCACAGCAGCUGAGAAACAAGGCAGAUGAUUUCCCCCUGUAAUUUAAAAGGAGGAUUUAACAAGUAACAGGCUGCCGUGCCUUACAAAUGUUGACUUUUGGAAUCAUAAUUCCUGUAACUUCAACUUCACUAAAGAGUUAUAUCAAUUUGCCAAUGGAAUUGAGAGUAGUUAAUGUAUAAAAGGUAAAUUUUUUUGUCCUAAAUCAGCAGGAAUAUUAUACUGCUGAAAUAUUUAUUAACCUUGAGAAUUUGAAAUAAUGCAUGGUUUGCUUAUGGUCUUAAUGGGGCAUCAUGUCACCUAAACCCAAAAUGCAUGUAGAUAUCCAGUAUUUUCUUUUCAUUUAUUGCCAGCCUAUUACCAUCAUUUUACUUUUCAAGAGUAUUUUAUUUUGAAAGGUAUUUUUUUCAUAGAUUGUAUCACAACCCACUUUUAAUUAGGACAAGAGACAAAUUCAAAUUUGCCUUUAUUUUCCUUUCUCAAUAAGUGUUCUUUACUCCCUAUUAGUUUCCCACAGAGAAUUUUUUUAAUGAAGAGGGUUUGUUUUAGAGUUUGUAAUCUCCUGGACAGACUUUAUAAUGAUGAAAUGUAAGUGUCUUUCCUACAAUAACCUGCUGUGUUUGGAAAGCUUCACAUAAGGCAAGGGGUUAAGUAAAUCUCCAGUUCCCUGGGGGUCAGUUUGCAGAACAUGCAGGUACACACAUUGUUUAAUCUCUUAAAACUCUGCAAAUGGAGCUUAUCCUCUUGGCCUACUUGCUCUUUAAAGUGGUGGCAAAAACAUUCUAAAAUAAGAGCAACAGUUCAGUAGGGGAGAUGUCAGGCAGCCCCUGACCAAAUGCAAAAUUCCCAGAAGUGUUUGUUGGAUGAUUGAAUCAGAAACCCCGGUUUGGGUUGGGAGGGACCUUAAAUCUCACCCCAUUCCACCCCUGCCAUGGGCAGGGUCACCUCCCCUUAGACCAGGUUGCUCCAAGCCCCAUCCAGCCUGGCCUUGGACACCUUCACUUCCACACCUCUGAACUGCCAUCAAAACUCUGUUGCACACCUACAAACUCACCAUUGUUUAAAGAGGUUCCCAAGAGAAUAAUUCCUUAAUUUUUAAUCUAUCUUGAUGAAAGACCUUAAGGCAAGAUUCAGCACUGAAAGCUGACAAAACUUUUGUUAUAGAACACAUAAGAAAUACACUUGAGUCUUGACAUCACCAUUUGAAGGCUUUAAGUUAUCAAAACACAACCAGACAGUCAACAUUCCCAAUUUCAACAACCCUGCAUGGCUGGACAUUUAACCAUGCACUGAGUGCACAUGUAUUAGCUCGACUCUCACAUUUGUAUCAAGAAGUUUUCAAGACACUGAACCAGGUUUUUUUCUUUUACUGACCCUAAAAAAUCUUAUAACUUACAGUGAUCCAGCCAAAAAUGCACCUGAUAUAGUGUUGCCUUCACAGCUGGAAUGAAGACCCCAGUGCUGUACAAAUCAGAUGUUAAAUUCCAAGCCUGUAAGAUGCAAGGGAGAAAGUUUCUUUUGGAAAGGUACAUCAGGAAAUGUUUAGCAUUUUGUGAAUUUUGGAGAUACAAAUAUAAUACAGAAUUAAUAGUAAUGAAGGGAAAAAUGGCAGAAAGAAUCAAUUAUUUGAAAAAGACAUAGGGCAAAAUAUUAAAGUUAAUGACCACAUUUUUCAGUCACUUUGAUAUAAAUUCUGAAAAGGAAAGAAUCACUAAAAUAUGGCAUAGCAGUAGAAGUACAAUUUGCACACAAUGUAAUAAAGAAGAAAAAUUAAAAGAGAAUCAGUGAUAUUUGGCAGAAAUCCAGACAUGAUGAAACUACUGGUUAAAAAUGACAGCAUUAUUUUCAUUUUUUAUCUUAAAAGUGGAAGAUUUCUAAGUGAGGAUAUUGAGCUGGAGAUUUAGAAAAGUCAUGUAAGUGUUGGAUAAAAGGAAAUUGGAUAAAAAAAUGAAGGAAAAAGAUACAGAAGAAAAAUUGUUUCUGAACAUUAAUGCUAUGUCCUAGAGGGUAAUACAUAGCAGGACAUCCAGCAGCAAGCACUGUAAUAAAAUCUCUAAAUGCAAAAAGCAAUCAAAGCUUGAGCUAAAACACUCACAAACACAGGGGUACAUAAGAGUAAAUGAAGGUAAAAGACUGUAACAAUGAUGAAAGAAAAGGGAAUAGGCUGGAAUCGUAUUUGAAAUGGGUUUUAGAAUAUGCAUAAGAAAAGAAAAGAGGUUUACAAGGGCUUGGAGGAGUACUGUAGCAGGGAAAAUAUACAGAACACAAAAUAAAUUAUUUUGCCAGGGGAUGACACUAAAGAAAAAAAAUUGUAUUAAAAAAUGCCAGAGAGAUAUCAAAGGGAAUCAGUUUCAUAUAAAAGAGGAUCAAGAAAUAACAGUACCUGAAGAUUGACACGGCUUUAGAGUGAGCAGAGAGCUGUCCCAGAAUUCCACAUAAAAUGGCACUGGGUCAGGUAAGACUCUCAGAGAGCUGCACAGAUGAAACUACUUGAGGAAAUAAUUAUAAGGACCCCAACAUCAAUAUUCUAGGAGAGAGUCUGGUGAAAUUCACUCCUGUGUGGAGGACCUUUGCAAGUUCCUGGCACUAUUUAAAUUUCAAGUUUAGCAAUUAGAGUUCCCCAACUCUCAUAAUAGAACUCAGAAGAAAUGAUGAAUACUAUGAACAGCCAGGAGUUCAAAUUUGUAGAGAUGACACAAUUUCUUAGGAUGUACAAGAUGACAGGACAAUUUCUGGCCGUGUGAUUACUCAAAGCUGAAUUACACAAAGUGAAAUGACACGGGGCUGGAAAGAAUUACUCAAGCAUCUUCUACUCAUUGCUAACUUCUAAAUUAACUUCUUACAAUAAAGAGCAACAAAAGAAUCUCAUUAAUUUUGGACUCUUCAAUGGAACCUUAUUACAAAGAAGAGAGAACAAUUCUACAAUUUCUCUAAAUUGCUGCUCAUUGAGAGAGAGGAGCUGUAAAGACGUGGUGCAUGCGUGUGCAUGUAUUUGUGAUUAUUGCCAGUCUCCCUUGCAAAAUUCGUUUGCAAUGCCAUUAAUAAUACAUGGUCAGAUGCACUUUGUAUCCAGCUGAAUGCUAUAAAGCAUGGAAAAUGGGAAGUGGAUAAGGUGAUGGAGUAAAACAAAAAAUCUGGGCAGAUAAAGCGUCUCACUGAUUUCUUAUUCUUCAUUCUCUGAACAUUGCAAAUAGCCUUUAGAAUUCCUCAGGUGUGAGGAGCUAAAUCAGAUGAGCCACAAAAAGCAGAGAGAGCAGUAAGUCACGGCAACUCCUAGAGCUGCACCAAACCUGUAAUUACACAACAGUCCUUCCAUCCAAGGUUCCAAAAUGUAUUAGAAGGCGAAGUAAUUGGGAGCCAAAAAAUCUGACAA
Long non-coding RNA from Passer domesticus (house sparrow), 4064 nucleotides. RefSeq lists it as uncharacterized. NCBI's taxonomy places the organism in Eukaryota, Metazoa, Chordata, Aves, Passeriformes, Passeridae. The transcript has 3 exons. The record is from RefSeq and is a predicted model, not a curated record.